This is a long non-coding RNA of Sardina pilchardus (European sardine), 672 nucleotides long. RefSeq lists it as uncharacterized. The record is from RefSeq and is a predicted model, not a curated record. The transcript has 3 exons. Lineage: Eukaryota; Metazoa; Chordata; Actinopteri; Clupeiformes; Clupeidae.
CGUAAGCUGUAGCUAUUAUUUUAUUAUUAGAAGAUAUUGGAAAAUUAUUCAGUAGUUGUUUUUACUACUGAAUAAUAGUAGGCCUACUUUAUGGUAUUUGUGGUUUGGCUUUAUUUAUCUAGCCACACAGGUGGGUGCGCCUUGCGUCUCCUGCACUGCACUGCUUGUUGUGGUAGCCAACACGGUUGUCAGCGCUACUGUUCCAUCCAGUCCAUACAGGAGGCCAACAAACGUUGUCUGGGAACAGACAGAAUUGACAGUGAGGAGCUAGGCUCCUCUGCUGACCGAAUAGUUUGACUUUGCUGUGCGCAGACAUGAACUUAUCCACCUGUCCAAGGUGCGACAUGUCUUUCAGGUCUUUGCUAUUACUUGAAAAACACAAGGAAAAGUUUUGCAUCGGUGGUGCCAGGCCCGUGAGAGAGUCUGAAACACCGAAAGAUGUGGCAGAAAGGUUGAAUGGUAUGAGGAAUCAUCUGGAGAACAGAAAGCGUCUAGAAACUGAAGCCCAGAGGAAAACAGAACUCCAAAAUGAGUUUACAUCCAGGAGGGAACCAACAGGAUCUGCAGCUAAACCUCUGACAGUGGAUGGGCACCCCUCUCAAAUCAGCGGUCUUGCAAUGCACCAUGACAAGACUUUAGCUGACCUGUCAAAUGCAACCAAACAACUGCAGA